Molecule: ribosomal RNA, 413 nt
Filed under: uncultured microorganism
Description: bacterial SSU rRNA
Rfam family: Archaeal small subunit ribosomal RNA
Source: RNAcentral
GUGCAGCAGGCGCGAAAACUUCACAAUGUGCGAAAGCACGAUGAGGGAAUCCCAAGUGCUUGCUCGUAAGAGUAAGCUGUUUCUCUGUCUAAAACGCAGAGAGAGUAAGGGCUGGGUAAGACGGGUGCCAGCCGCCGCGGUAAUACCUGCAGCUCGAGUGGUGGCCGCUAUUAUUGGGCCUAAAACGUCCGUAGCCGGUUUAUUAAAUGCCUGGGUAAAUCGGACCGCUUAACGGUUCGAAUUCCGGGUAGACUGAUAAACUUGAGACCGGGAGAAGCUAGAGGUACUCCUGGGGUAGAGGUGAAAUUCUGUAAUCCUAGGGGACCACCAGUGGCGAAGGCGUCUAGCUAGAACGGGUCUGACGGUGAGGGACGAAGCCCUGGGGCGCAAACGGGGAUUAGAUACCCCUGUAG